Molecule: long non-coding RNA, 1260 nt
Organism: Leopardus geoffroyi (Geoffroy's cat)
Lineage: Eukaryota; Metazoa; Chordata; Mammalia; Carnivora; Felidae
Exons: 3
Source: RefSeq, a predicted model, not a curated record
AGCUGUCUUCGCUGGUUUUGCUGAAGGCCAACUGAGGAUGUUUUGGCCUGGAAGUCCCAGGGUGUACACACUCUAAUAGAGUGAUGAAGCCUGCGCAGACUUAAGGGUUUUGGUCCUAUUGGUUGGGAAUACUAGUCCCAGCAGUGUGUUUAUUUGAACAGAAACUUCUCACAACGAAACAAGCAGAGGUGGCAUGGAGCCCAUCAUAAAGACGUGGCAUCGAUACUGGACUUGUUCCUAUGCUGGUGUGUGGCAGAGACCACAUACCUGGUUAGUAGAGAAAGUGUACCUCCCAUUCAGUCUUGCUCUCUUACAUGGAAGGCACAUCAUGACCAGUGACUCUGUCUUCUGCAAGCCUGGAGAUGAGGUGGCCACAAGACUGAUAGGGACGGCUGGUGGCCAGUGCACCCUUGUGGACAGUAUUGGCCCUAAUUUGGUCAUUUUAAGCAAGGAUGUAACCAUAAACACCACCCUGCGUCCAGAAAUUAAGGUUUCCUAAACAAUUCUCAGAAGGCAGUUCCUGGCAGCACUUAAACCCCAAGAAAGCAAAGAGAAGCCUGAAACAAAAUCCAGAUGCCUUUCACAGAACAUUAGCUUUGUUAUGGAGGGCAGUGCUGCCAAAGAGAAAUGACCUCUCAGGCUUACCAUACAUUGUCCCAAACGGUGUCCUCAGAAAAGUAAACAUAGUGCCACAUAGAUUAAUGUGCUACAAAGUAAGAAUGUCCAGGAACCUUGGGAAUGUCUGUGCUCCCAUGAGAUGGAAAGGAUCAGCAAGCCCACUUCCCGUAUUGUCUGUCCUGAGGCACUCUGCCAGAAGGCCAUCCAACAGGUGCCUGGGCAUCACGGUCCAUAUCUCAGCAACUUUUGGGUCCUCAUUUGUGUGGCACCGUCUGGAAUGGUGUGCAGUAAUUUUUCUCAUUGGCAGUAGAAGAAAAAGCCCUGUGAAGUUCAGUACUGUUUGCUGUAAAGAUUAUCGUUGAAGACACAGUUUUCUAGCUUAUAGGAUGUUACCUUGGAGUACCCACAGGAUAAAUUCUCCUGUCUGCACUAAGUCACGUAACCUCCCCAAUCAGACACCGGGAAUGAGUUUCGUGUCCUCACUCUCUCUGGUAUAAUCUUAUUUUAUCUACACUCAUUUGUACUUACUUCCUACUUUCCCCAUUAACUUAAUUUUUAUCUUAUUUUUGGCAUUUUUGUAAAUUGCCUUAUGUUCUUUUUGGAAUACAAAUUUAUUUAAAUAAAGAGGAUGUUGAAAUUUGA